CGCAGCAGGCGCGAAAACUUUACAAUGCGGGAAACCGUGAUAAGGGGACACCGAGUGCCAGCAUCAUAUGUUGGCUGUCCAGAUGUGUAAAAUACAUCUGUUAGCAAGGGCCGGGCAAGACCG
This 123-nucleotide ribosomal RNA is filed under the name uncultured archaeon. RNAcentral's name for it is "partial 16S ribosomal RNA". It matches the Rfam family "Archaeal small subunit ribosomal RNA", at positions 331 to 454 of the family's 1478-position model. The record is from RNAcentral.